RNAcentral lists this long non-coding RNA (1747 nucleotides) under Gopherus agassizii (Agassiz's desert tortoise). RNAcentral's name for it is "lncRNA (ENSGAGG00000006654.1)". Lineage: Eukaryota; Metazoa; Chordata; Testudines; Testudinidae. The record is from RNAcentral.
GGCUGCCAGGGUGGAGCGGCUGCUCCUGUCCUACCCUCGGCUGUUUCCCUUCCUCCGCAGGUGGUUGGUCCCUUUGCUGACAACCCCAGGGUGCUGUUUGGGGACUACGCACCCAUCCCGGACCCCCAGUACAUCUACACCCCCAGGAGAGGCCUGGAGACCCUGCCGGCCAACGUCAGCUUCGCCGCAGGCUGCAGUGAGCCCAGGUGCCAGCACUACUCACCGGGUGAGGUGGAGGGGGCGGUCUUGGCAGCCGACGUCGUCGUGGUGUGCCUGGGCACAGGGACUGACCUGGAGACAGAGGCGAAGGACCGACGGGACCUGUCCCUGCCCGGGCACCAGCAGGAGCUGCUGCAGGACGCCGUGGCCUGGGCCGGGGGGCGCCCUGUCAUCCUGCUGCUGUUCAACGCGGGGCCACUGGACGUGGGCUGGGCCCAGGCCCACCGCGGAGUAGGCGCCAUCCUGGCGUGCUUCUUCCCAGCACAGGCCGCGGGCAUCGCCAUCAUCAAAGUGCUGCUGGGGGAAGAGGGGGCCAGCCCGGCAGGCAGGCUCCCGGCCACCUGGCCAGCUGGCAUGGACCAGGUGCCAGCCAUGGAGAAUUACACCAUGGAGGGGCGCACGUACCGGUACUAUGGGCCAAGGGCCCCACUCUACCCCUUCGGCUACGGACUGUCCUAUACCACCUUCCUCUACCGGGACCUGGCCUUGAGCCCCACGGCGCUGCCCGUCUGCGCCAACCUCAGCGUCUCCGUGGUGGUGGAGAACACUGGGCAGAGGGAUGGUGAAGAGGUGAGAGCUCUCUCUGCCCCGGGUCGGGGGUGGGGUGGGUUGUGAGGCAGGGCAUGGCGUGGGGGGAAUGGGGUUAUCAUGUGGGCCCUGUGCCAGGUCGGCACUUAGCUCUGAUGGCUCCACCCCCGUUGGGCUGGGGCGGUCAGGAGAGGUGGUGUCCUGCUUACUCCUGUGGCACUGGAGUGAGGCAGUGCCAUGAUUCUGCCCCAGCCGGGGUCUCAGGUUGUCCCUGAGGGGUGACGCUGCCCAGGGAGAAGCAGCACCUGGCAGGACCCCUCGGUCCCUGCUGGCCUUGCCCUGGGUGCUUGGCUCCCCGUUGCUGUUCCUAGCCCACCUCUCCCCUCCCUGCAGGUGGUGCAGCUGUACCUGCGUUGGGUGCAGCCCUCCGUGCCGGUGCCCCGCUGGCAGCUGGUUGGAUUCCGCCGGGUGCCCAUUGCCGCAGGCCGGGCAGUGAAGCUGCUGUUCCUGGUGACCUACGGGCAGCGCGCCGUCUGGGCUGAGCAGUGGCAGCUGGAGCCAGGCGCCUUCACGCUCUUUGUGGGCGGGCAGCAGCCAGGCCAGGAGACACGUGCCAGCUCCGAGGUCCUGCGGGCAGAAUUCACUGUGACUGGCACCACCCGACCCCUGAGCCACUGCUAGGGACAGGGACAGUUCCUGGGGCACUGGAAUGGGAACUGCGGGGGGCUAGGAUGGGGCCAUACGCAUUAGGAUUGGGAUCUGGCCCAGCACCCAGCUCGUUGUACCCGGAAGCAGGGUCACGUGACUGUCUCUAUCAGAGUUGGGAGGGCCGACCCGGCACUUGGCUGGCUGUAUUCAGGGGACCGGCCUGACACUUGGCUGGCUGUAUUCGGGGGACCGGCCUGGCACCUGGCUGGCUGUAUUCGGGGGGCCAUCCUGGCUAUACUGGGGACAAUGGGAGCUCAUUCAUUUGAUGCACAAUAAACUUUGCCCAGUGUUG